Molecule: long non-coding RNA, 2773 nt
Organism: Varroa destructor (honeybee mite)
Lineage: Eukaryota; Metazoa; Arthropoda; Arachnida; Mesostigmata; Varroidae
Source: RefSeq, a predicted model, not a curated record
UGUCUUUGUUUAUUUGUCAACACGGCAACAACUGACAGGCACGACGUUUACGGGGAAACAUACAAAUCUACACUAUAACCAGUAGCAGCAGCAAUAGAAGUAGGCGACCUCUUGUUUUGUCUGCAGCACAUACAGUCUCCACCGCUACUAUCCGUCAUUGUGCUGAGCUUUUUAGAACAUUAGCAGAUUAUGACGAGAACAACCGGCAAUCCCUAAUACCGAACAGGACUGCCACUCAGUUGAGACGUUUUAUGACGGCGAUAGAAGCGCCGAUUGAGCGUAUUGGGAUUCGACAAACAAAACAAUUGCUAAAUCGCUCAAGUGAUAUGAUAAAGGACAACGAACAGGUGACAAUCAUUCUACCUGCUCCACUGGGACGUCAACGAAAAAUUAGAUCUACAAUGGGGGAAAAAAAAGGCGAGAUAAAAAGAGCGAAAAUAAGAUCGUUAGUGUCUAUAUAAUAUAUAUAUUCGUGUUAUAAUUGCUAGAAUUCAAUGGGGCUGGUGUUGGAAAGGUCAAAAUGAGCAUAGCAGUAACGAACGUUGAGAUGGCUGUGUCGGUGAUAAUGCAAAUUACGACGUCGCCAUUUUCGAAGUCAUUGGACUCGUUGGAGCAUUUUAGUAAGCGCACGGUUAAGUAGUGAGUAGCCAAGUCUUCGUGAUGCAGACGGUGACCAAGCUCGGAACAAUAACGGUGAGUCACAAAAUACAAAUAUAAAUAAGAGAACGAAAAUGCUCGGUAUCAUUGCCACCAAAACCGUUAUCAGCAACAUCGGCUAACUGUAUAAAUCAUAAAAGGGGUAAGGAAACUAGCAAAUGAAAAUUCGAAAAACCAUGACGUUAUUGUUACGCAUAGUCGAGAUGACGACCCCUCGACCACUUUCGGUUACUCCCAGCCGCGAAGCUCGUUGACGAGACUAAAAUUCAUUCUAGCGAAGCAUGGUUAGACACUGACUGAUGGCUCCUGCGUUUCGCAAAACGCUACCGUAAGCCGCGCCCUGAAUAGUGUAAGUGGAUAGAACUUUUCCGUUCAGAGCUACACCGAACGCCGGUUGCUGUUUAAAAACGCAAAAUGACCACAUCAGCAUUUUUUCCCACAUUCAGAAACACCAAUAGAGGAGGCAGCGAUUAGAACAAAAGCGUCUCAGGCUAGCAUUAGGGCCGAAGGCCAAAAAAAAAUGCAAUCAAGGGAAAAUGACAAAGUCGACUGAAAAAAACUAUAAGGAACCGGAGGAAUAAAGAUGGACAAGAAAAAACACAACAGCAGAAUUACGAUCAUGAUCUCUAUCAGCAUUCAGCUACACACACCCAUGUGAGUCAGGAAGCCGUUAAGGUUGUGGGUCUACGUCGCUUCACCGCGCCAUCGUACCCUCGGGAGGCAGUGCACAGACGGCAUGACAACUGCACAAGAGCAACAAACCUCUAUAUAUGGAAUAGUAAUGAUCACUUAAUAAUGGGUCGAUCGACGGCAGCCGCAAUGACAUUGCCGCAAAAUAUUUGACACAAUUUUCAAUAUUGGAGGAGAAUUCGUCAUAGAUCCUAAGGCGCACACAGCUACCGUCGUAACUCGACGUACUACGGCUACCGUAGGUUUGUCGGUGAUUGGCUCCACUAGAGUCGCUGUGGAGCCCCACUAUUGGCUAGCAUUUGUAUCUAUUUGGAAGCAUUACUACCGUCCACCGGCACCUGCUCGUUGAUACUAGCUGCUGUUAUUGGUUCAGACAUUAUAACAAAUUUUUACUAUAUGUUACCGCAAAGACACCCAUAAAGAAGAAGAGCAAAGCCUGAGAUGUAAACCAGGUCGAAGAGUAGAAAACUCGUCUAGUUAUGCUGAAUUCCUUUAUUACAGCAGGAAGAUCAGCAGAGUCCGCUGAGCUACACAUAUCUGAGGAGGCGACGUACUAAAUUCUUUAGCCAGCGAGCAACCGGAUCUGUUCGCCACUACGGAUGUGCGCCACGAUAUAUUAAUGCGGCCACUGCCAUAUUAACGGCUCUUCAGAGACAUUUGGGAUCCACUAAAAUCAUCUGCAAGCAUAAUGUUCAAUGUUUCAAUGCGCUAGUACGGACGGAAGACAAGACGAAAUCGUAUCUACGUCAUUAGGAAAUACAUUUCUGAAGCUUUCUCACUCCAGCCGCCCCUUCUGGCCUGCUUCUGCGGGAUUGCUGUCUAUGAAACACGGUAGCUUCGAUUUGAAGGCUGACUUCAAGCAGGAACCAGUCGACCCCUUCUGAUGAGCGCUGUUAAAUGCUGAAUCCCCGAUUCGCGGUUUUUCGGCUCAGUAAAGCGAUCGUUAGCGUACCCGUCUUCGAAAUCGCCGCUGCCGUUGCUACGACCGGCAACAGUAAAAGUACCUACAAGCAGCCAGAAGAGCUAACCGGCAGAGUCCUGCUGCUACAACAACAACGUACCUACUCCACCCGCUACUUCUGCGUCUGAUGGUGUCCUGGAUAGAGCGAAAUUUCGCCGGCUGCACCGUCGUUCGCACCACCCCAGGAGCGCCAAAAGCAGAAGCUAACAACAGUCGACCGAGUUGACCGAACAGGCGAACGCUCGGUCGUAGAUGAAACGGAGGCCGUAACUGAGACAGCGUGUGUAACCGCCAGCCAAGCCACCGAUCACAAAUAAUAAUAAUGAAACCGCAACAGUGCCGCUCCACAACGGCAUAAGGCGUCGCAUUGCUUUGCAUGACAUGCCGCGGCGUAACGGCUGAAUCGUAAAAAGCGUCAAUAGAACAGUGUUUGGUGAAGGAGCGCUAACGCCGGUAGCUGUACGA